RNAcentral lists this ribosomal RNA (637 nucleotides) under uncultured bacterium. RNAcentral's name for it is "bacterial SSU rRNA". It matches the Rfam family "Bacterial small subunit ribosomal RNA", at positions 232 to 868 of the family's 1533-position model. The record is from RNAcentral.
CGCGGCCUAUCAGCUUGUUGGGGGGGUAAUGGCCUACCAAGGCGACGACGGGUAGCCGGCCUGAGAGGGUGACCGGCCACACUGGGACUGAGACACGGCCCAGACUCCUACGGGAGGCAGCAGUGGGGAAUAUUGCACAAUGGGCGAAAGCCUGAUGCAGCGACGCCGCGUGAGGGAUGACGGCCUUCGGGUUGUAAACCUCUUUCAGUAGGGAACAAGGCCACACGUUGUGUGGUUGAGGGUACUUGCAGAAGAAGCGCCGGCUAACUACGUGCCAGCAGCCGCGGUAAUACGUAGGGCGCAAGCGUUAUCCGGAAUUAUUGGGCGUAAAGAGCUCGUAGGCGGUUUGUCGCGUCUGCCGUGAAAGUCCGGGGCUCAACCCCGGAUCUGCGGUGGGUACGGGCAGACUAGAGUGAUGUAGGGGAGACUGGAAUUCCUGGUGUAGCGGUGAAAUGCGCAGAUAUCAGGAGGAACACCGAUGGCGAAGGCAGGUCUCUGGGCAUUAACUGACGCUGAGGAGCGAAAGCAUGGGGAGCGAACAGGAUUAGAUACCCUGGUAGUCCAUGCCGUAAACGUUGGGCACUAGGUGUGGGGGACAUUCCACGUUUUCCGCGCCGUAGCUAACGCAUUAAGUGCC